CUAAGAAUAUUCCGCAAUGGACGGAAGUCUGACGGAGCGACGCCGCGUGGAUGACGAAGGCCGAAAGGUUGUAAAGUUCUUUUGCUGGGGAAGAUAACCGCAGGAGGGAAUGCCUGUGGGAUGACAAGAACCGGCGAAUAAGCCCCGGCCAACUACGUGCCAGCAGCCGCGGUAACACGUAGGGGGCGAGCGUUGUUCGGAAUUACUGGGCGUAAAGGGCAUGUAGGCGGCUUGGAAAGCCUGGCGUGAAAGUCUGCAGCUUAACUGCAGGGGUGCGCUGGGAACUGCUGAGCUUGAGUGACGGAGAGGGAGCUGGAAUUCCUGGUGUAGGGGUGAAAUCUGUAGAUAUCAGGAAGAACACCGAUGGCGAAGGCAAGCUCCUGGCCGAUGACUGACGCUGAGGUGCGAAAGUGUGGGGAUCAAACAGGAUUAGAUACCCUGGUAGUCCACACAGUCAACGAUGUGCACUAGGUGCUGGGGCGGUAGCUUCGGUGCCGGAGCGAACGUGGUAAGUGCACCGCCUGGGGAGUAUGCUCGCAAGGGUGAAACUUAAAUGAUUGACGGGGUCAUAGCU
Molecule: ribosomal RNA, 574 nt
Filed under: uncultured bacterium
Lineage: Bacteria
Description: partial 16S ribosomal RNA
Rfam family: Bacterial small subunit ribosomal RNA
Source: RNAcentral